GUUCCAGCAGCCGCGGUAAUACCGGCAGCCCGAGUGAUGGCCGAUCUUAUUGGGCCUAAAGCGUCCGUAGCUGGCUGCGUAAGUCCGUUGGGAAAUCCACCCGCCUAACGGGUGGGCGUCCAGCGGAAACUGUCCGGCUUGGGGCCGAACGACCCGAGGGGUACGUCCGGGGUAGGAGUGAAAUCCUGUAAUCCUGGACGGACCGCCGGUGGCGAAAGCGCCUCGGGAGGACGGACCCGACGGUGAGGGACGAAAGCCAGGGUCUCGAACCGGAUUAGAUACCCCGGUAGUCC
Molecule: ribosomal RNA, 293 nt
Filed under: uncultured bacterium
Lineage: Bacteria
Description: partial 16S ribosomal RNA
Rfam family: Archaeal small subunit ribosomal RNA
Source: RNAcentral